Corylus avellana is the source of this 2080-nucleotide RNA transcript. It is a transcript of the gene named glycosyltransferase family protein (DUF23), with no coding region annotated. The record is from RefSeq and is a predicted model, not a curated record. Lineage: Eukaryota; Viridiplantae; Streptophyta; Magnoliopsida; Fagales; Betulaceae.
AACAAAACAAAAAAAAAAAAACCAAGGUGGUCCUUUACAAGGGAGAGACAUGGGCAAUAGGUUGUAUUCUAUGUAGGGGUGCCCGACUCUCCCUUUGACCCUUUUUCUUUCUCGUUAAGCGCAAUCAUCAAAAUACCACCAUCGAGGCAAGACACCGACAGCAACAGAAGUAGACAACAGAGAACCCUCACCUCACCCCCACCCAACCAACCAAAAUGAGGAAGGACGCUCCACCGCCCUCCGUCGCCAAAAUGCUGAGCUGCAUCGAGACCAAGACGUUAGUCGUCACCUUCCUUGCUCUGGGCCUCGUCAUGCUCAUGUGGAACCUCCCUCCCUACUACCAAAACCUCCUCUCCACCACCCGCACCUCCUGCUCCGCUGCCGCCUCCGCCGCUCUUUCUAUUACCAAUACAUCCUCUGCUAACUAUUCCUCAACCCCACUCGCUGCACAGAAGUAUUCCACCCCCAAAAUUAUUCCCAUUCCCGAUCCCAAUUCUCGAGUUUUCCGGCCCGUUGGCAACGCCGCCGCUCUGUUCGUCCUCAUGGGCGCCUACCGCGGCGGCCCCCGGACCUUCGCUGUGGUGGGCCUCGCCUCCAAGCCCAUUCACGUCUACGGUCGGCCCUGGUACAAAUGCGAGUGGAUCUCCAACAAUGGGUCAUCCAUUCGAGCCGUAGCCUUUAAGAUGCUUCCCGAUUGGGGGUACGGACGCGUCUACACCGUCGUCGUUGUCAAUUGCACCUUCCCUGUCAACCCGAAUGAAGACAACACAGGUGGGAAGCUCACUAUCAAUGCGUACUAUAGUCAGUCCCCGAGGAAGUACGAGAAAUUCACGGCCUUGGAGGAAGCACCGGGCUCUUACAACGAGUCCAAGUACCACCCGCCUUACCAGUACGAGUAUCUGUAUUGUGGGUCAUCUUUGUACGGGAAUCUGAGCGCCGCUAGGAUCAGGGAAUGGAUGGCUUACCACGCCUGGUUCUUCGGACCCAAAUCCCACUUCGUAUUUCACGACGCCGAUGGGGUGUCGCCGGAGGUGAGGGCGGCGCUGGAGCCGUGGGUGCGAGCUGGGAGGGCCACUGUGCAGGACAUAAAGGGUCAGGCGGAGUUCGAUGGGUAUUACUAUAACCAGUUCUUGGUGGUGAAUGACUGUCUACAUCGCUACCGACACUCUGCCAAUUGGACCUUUUACUUCGAUGUGGAUGAGUAUAUCUAUCUGCCCCACGGAAAUACGCUCGAAUCUGUCCUCAAUGACUUCUCCGAUUAUACUCAGUUCACUAUUGAGCAGAAUCCCAUGUCCAGUCUACUCUGCUUGAACGAUUCUACUCGGGAUUAUUCUAGGCAAUGGGGAUUCGAGAAGCUACUCUUCAGGGACUCAAGAACCGGAAUCCGGCGGGAUCGGAAGUACGCCAUUCAGGCCAAGAACGCCUAUGCGACCGGCGUGCACAUGUCGGAGAAUGUCGUUGGGAAGACAUUGCACAAGACCGAAACGAAGAUCCGAUAUUAUCACUACCACAACUCCAUAUCGGUGCUAGGCGAACCGUGCAGGGAAUUCCUCCCAGUUUCGGCCAAGAACAAUGUGACCUGGUACGACAAGCUCCCCUUCGUGUAUGAUGACAAUAUGAAGCAGCUGGCCAAUACCAUCAAGGAAUUCGAGCUUAAAACCAUCGGAAAUGUACAGCUCUAAGAUUAGCUAGGAGUGCCUUAGUGGUGCCCAAAAUGAUUUUUAUUGUGACCAACUGCACCGAAAUUCACAUUGUGGGCAAGCAAAUGCUACUGCAGAUGCGAUGAUGGCUUGCUACUCACACUUGGCGUGCAUUGUCAUCAUUGAUUGAUUGAUUCUUGGCUCAUAAAUUAAAUUAGGUUGCUCAAAGUCUACUCCUCUUUUCCUGGCUGGGGAUCCAUAUGACCCACCAAUCCAUGGGCGCUCAUGAGCGGUGAGAAACUGUUGCAAAAGAAAAGGGUGGGGGAGGACCCAACAAAGCUUUCGUUUGUCUAUAAACUAAGCGAUAAAAGGAGGAGUAUUGAAGCGGUAGACGUUGCUAACAAAAAGGCCAAGACUGAGAGAUUGAAAGAUAUUGCAGA